Bombardia bombarda is the source of this 72-nucleotide non-coding RNA. The record is from the annotation of a GenBank genome assembly. Lineage: Eukaryota; Fungi; Ascomycota; Sordariomycetes; Sordariales; Lasiosphaeriaceae.
GCUUGAGUAGAGUAGUAGUUAACUCGUCGCCCUCCCAAGGCGGAAACUCGGGUGCAAAUCCCGGCUCUAGCA